This is a long non-coding RNA of Vidua macroura (Pin-tailed whydah), 397 nucleotides long. RefSeq lists it as uncharacterized. The transcript has 3 exons. The record is from RefSeq and is a predicted model, not a curated record. NCBI's taxonomy places the organism in Eukaryota, Metazoa, Chordata, Aves, Passeriformes, Viduidae.
GGUACAGGGGGAUAACCACUUCCCUGGUCCUGCUGGCCACACUAUUGCUGAUACAGGCCAGGAAGCCAUUGGCCUUCUUGGUCACUGAAGAGAAAUGUAGUCUCUGGAAUUUUUUGAGUAUGAUCUUGAGUCUGCUGCAGACAUUUUGUUCUACAUUUUGAACAAAUGAAGAGGCCAGCUCUCUCACCCUCUACCUGUAUGAAAGAUGCUGCAGUCCCUUCAUCAUCUUUAUGUCCCUCUGUAGGACUGGCUUCAAUCUGAUCAUGCUUCUUUUCGUUUUGAGGAGCCCAGAACUGGGUGGAGCCUCGAUAUAUCUCACCAAGCCUGAGUAGAGGGAAAGGAUCACAUCAGCCUGCAUGUAAUGUAAUUUCCAGAAGCUGCUGACAUGUUUUGCUUC